RNAcentral lists this ribosomal RNA (814 nucleotides) under uncultured bacterium. RNAcentral's name for it is "bacterial SSU rRNA". It matches the Rfam family "Bacterial small subunit ribosomal RNA", at positions 28 to 796 of the family's 1533-position model. The record is from RNAcentral.
GAUGAACGCUGGCGGCGUGCCUAAUACAUGCAAGUCGAACGCUUUGUGGUUCAACUGAUUUGAAGAGCUUGCUCAGAUAUGACGAUGGACAUUGCAAAGAGUGGCGAACGGGUGAGUAACACGUGGGAAACCUACCUCUUAGCAGGGGAUAACAUUUGGAAACAGAUGCUAAUACCGUAUAACAAUGACAACCGCAUGGUUGUUAUUUAAAAGAUGGUUCUGCUAUCACUAAGAGAUGGUCCCGCGGUGCAUUAGCUAGUUGGUAAGGUAAUGGCUUACCAAGGCGAUGAUGCAUAGCCGAGUUGAGAGACUGAUCGGCCACAAUGGGACUGAGACACGGCCCAUACUCCUACGGGAGGCAGCAGUAGGGAAUCUUCCACAAUGGGCGAAAGCCUGAUGGAGCAACGCCGCGUGUGUGAUGAAGGGUUUCGGCUCGUAAAACACUGUUGUAAGAGAAGAAUGACAUUGAGAGUAACUGUUCAAUGUGUGACGGUAUCUUACCAGAAAGGAACGGCUAAAUACGUGCCAGCAGCCGCGGUAAUACGUAUGUUCCAAGCGUUAUCCGGAUUUAUUGGGCGUAAAGCGAGCGCAGACGGUUAUUUAAGUCUGAAGUGAAAGCCCUCAGCUCAACUGAGGAAUUGCUUUGGAAACUGGAUGACUUGAGUGCAGUAGAGGAAAGUGGAACUCCAUGUGUAGCGGUGAAAUGCGUAGAUAUAUGGAAGAACACCAGUGGCGAAGGCGGCUUUCUGGACUGUAACUGACGUUGAGGCUCGAAAGUGUGGGUAGCAAACAGGAUUAGAUACCCUGGUAGUCC